AUGUAAAAAAGAAAAUAGCAACGAUUACGAUAUGUUGGAAUCUAGCAAAAAUAUAUCUACUGAGGUAAGUGACCAUGAACUUAGAGACGACGGUACUAUAUACAACGGUACUAAUGAACUCUCAAACAACGAUGUUACAAAUUUCAGAAGCAAUAAAGAUAUUUCCAUUAUAAAUGAAAAAAAUAAAUCAGAUUAUAUAAACUUAGGUGCUCUAGAUUUUAGUACAUAUAAAGAAGAUUCUGAGGGGUAUAUAAAAUAUUGUGAGAGUAAAAAAAGUGCAACUAUAUCAAAUAAUAGCAAAAAUAACAACAAUAUAAAUACUAAUAAUACAUCUAAAACUGUUUCACCUUUAGAAAUGAAAAAGAAAAGAAUGAUUAAUCAAUCAGUAUACGUAAAAAAUAAUAAUAAUAACACUAGCAGUAAAUACUCGCAAAUUCGUACAACAUCUAAUUUGAAUAAAAGUGUAUAUAUAGAUAAGAAUUUAAAAAUGGGGAAUAUCAGCAAGAGCAUUAGUAAUAGUACCACUGGGAAUAUAAAAAAAAUGGAUACUUUACAUAAUAAAAGUGUAUAUGUAAACAGCAAUAUUGGAAAUAUAAAUUUAGGUGUUCAUAAAAAAGAUGUUAAAAGUAGUAUUUCUAAAAGUACAUUUGUUCCUAGUAGUAGUGUUAGACCUAUGACAUCAUCAUCUUCUCAUAUAAAUAAAAGUAUUUACAUAAAUUCAAAACUAAUGAAGAAUAAAAAUAGUAAUGUAAAUGUAAAUGAUAAUUUACUAGCUGUAAGUAAGUUGUCUGUUUUGAACAAAAAUAAUGUAACAAAUACUAACGAUAAUAACAAAUUGAAUACAAUAAAACCAGGAAAUUUAUGUAAUAGCAUUUAUUUAAAAAAAAAAAAUAUUAUUAUAUCAAAUAACAAUAAUAACAAUCAGAUGAUUAACAACAGCAGCUUAAAUAAAACUUCUUAUAAUAAAUUCAAUAUACCUUCAAAUGAAGUAAAAAAAAGAAAAAUAGAAGACGAAUUUUCAUCUGAUUCAAAAAAUUCUGUAAUAACUAAUGUGAAUUUAAAAAACCGAAUGAAUACUAUUAACUAUGGUGAUGGUAGUAAUAACGGAAUAAAAAUAUCGAAUGUUCAAAGUGACGAUAGUAAUAAAUAUAUAAAUGUUGUUAAAAAAGAAAAUAUGUUAGAAGAAGAUUUAAAAGAAAACAACAAAAACUCAAAAUGUGUUAAUAAUGUUUUAAACAAUAUUAUAAAUGAAAAAAAAGAGAAUCAUAAAAUGAAUAAACAACUGAAUGAGUAUUUGAUUUCUUCAUAUAUUCCUUUGACGAUGGGAGAUGUAGAAAGUUUAUUUGGAGGUGACUAUACAUUUUGUAAAAAUGACACUACAGAAGAAUAUGCUUCUACGAGUGGUACUACUACUAUUAGUACUACUACUGCUGGUAUUACUGCUGGUAUUACUGCUGGUAUUACUGCUGGUAUUACUGCUGGUAUUACUGCUGGUAUUACUGCUGGUAUUACUACUAGUACUACUGCUAUUAAUACUGCUAGUACUACUGCUAUUACUACUGCUAUUAAUACUGAUAGUACUACUGAUAGUACUACUGAUAGUACUACUGCUAGUACUACUGCUAGUACUACUGCUAGUACUACUGCUAAAACUACUAUGACAGAUACAUAUACUACGAUGAAAAACGAUGCCAGCACAAUGACCGACGCCGUUACAAACAUGGCUGAUGAAGUUUUUUCAAAAUCAUUGUAUAUCAUUAAAGAAAACGAACAAAAUGAUACAGAAAAUACAAACAUGAGUAUGUCAAACAAUAAUAAAUUAAUUAACACUAACGACUUAACUAAUAAUAUAAAAAAUGAUAUAUUAUCAUGUUCUGAUGAUUUAAAUGUUAAUAAAAAUGUGAUUAAACAAGAAAAAUCUUCGGAAGUACAUUAUAAUUUACAUAUCAAUAAUGAACCUAACAAAUUAAGUGAUGCAUUAUUACUAAGUCGUAAAAAUGUGAUUUUGAAUAUAAAUAAAGAAGUAAUGCGAUUAAAGGCACAAGGAAAUAAAGGGCAAAAAAUGGACAAAGAAGAAAAGGCAGGAGUAGUAGCAGUAGAAGGAGCAGGAGCAGACGCAAUGACAAUAAAAGUAGAAGAUGAAAAUGAUAUUGAUUCGACAAAAACAGUACGAGUUAAUGAUGAACUAAACUUGAAAAGACAAGAGAGGAUGAUGUUAAAUAAAAUUCCUUUCUCUAGUUCUUUGAAGAAAAAUUUACUUUCCUGUGGAGAUUCAGAUGCAGGUUCUGUUGCAAGCUCUAUUGCAAGCUCUAUUGCAAGCUCUGUUGCAGGAUCAGUUUCAGAAACAAAACAAAAUGAUCAAGUGAAUAAACAUAACGUAGUAGAUAAUAAUCGAGCCAAUUUCCACAUUGAAAUGAAUUUAAAUUUAGAAUACAUUUCACUGGAUCUAGUUGAUUUAGAUGUUGCUAUAAAUGAAGGUUUACAUUAUUACAAAAAAGUGGAAGAUAGUUAUAUAGCAAGUGAAAAACACAUACAUAAUAUAAUUCAAUAUAAUAAGAUACUAAAAAAAGAAAAAAACACCGUCACUUCUGGUAUGGUUUGUUUAAAUAUGUAUGAUAAGAAUGGACUUACUGAAUUUACUUCUAAGUGUAGCUCUAUCAAGAAUGGAAAAGAAGAACAAAACAGAAUAAUUCAUUUUAAAUCUUCUGAUGAAAUAAAAAACGAAAUGAUUAAAUAUAUUGGGAUUUCUAUAUUCUAUUGUAUAGCUAGUGAAUCAUUGGUUCCGUCUGCUUCAUUAAAAAACGAUAAAAGACUAGAAUUAUGGUUUACUAAAAAAAAGAAACAGAAAAUAAAUACAAAAAUGUUAUCCGAUUCUAAAAAUGGUGAAACUAAUUUUAGAUUCAAAAAAAAAAUAACAAGGGCUAGUUGUAUUGGAUACUUUUCGCAACCUAUAACUAUAAUGCUAUGUUCAUUGAAAAGAAGAAGUGAAUAUAAAAAUUUAAAACGUAUCAUAAGGUCAAUUAUAAAAUGUACUUGUGAUUCUUCUACUCUUGAAAUUAUUUUACAUACCAUACCUGAUGAAUUUAGUAAACAUUUUUCACUUUGGAAUGAAGCAGUAAGACAGUUAGAUGCGCAUGUGGGUGCAGAUAAAAAGAAGGAAAUAAUAAAAAAAUAUUUUUUAAAAAAAAAACAAAACGUUAAAGAGAGAAUAGAAGCUGGAUUAGAUACAGAGUGGUCUGACACAGUUGUGUCAGACCAAAAUGACUCUAGCUCUGAUUCCAACGGACGCAAUAAAUAUCAUAAUAAUGAUAAAAAAUUUAAUUUUAGACAAUAUGACUAUAUGAAAAAAAUGAACAAUUAUAACAAUGGUUUAAAUAUGAGUGAUUAUUUUACAACAGAUAAUGACAUAAUUGAAAAUGAUGCAUGUGGAAUGUCAAAAAAAAUAAUGGGUCCAUCGAAAGAACAACAUAAUAUAAAAAAUAAAGAAGAUAAAAAAAAGAAUGAUGAUUUUAACAUUUUAGAAGAUGAAGAGUUUUGUUUAUUUAUUUGUUCUAUAAAAAAUAUACAUAAACGAUUUAAAUAUUUGAUAUUAAUAGAAAAUUUUGAUUAUAUAUAUAAAGACUUACUAAAACAUAUAAUUAAUAAAUUACAUAUGAUUGAUUUGAUAAUAAAUAAGCAUAUUUUAUUAAAACAACUUUUUUGUAAUAUUUUAUAUUUAUGUAAUUGGUUAAACACACCAAAAAUAUAUAAAUGGUUUCAUUGGAAUGUUGUAUUUAAAAAAAUGGAAAAAUUGUACGGGUAUUUAGAAAAUGGUCGAAUAUCAAAAGAAAAGUGUAUUAUGCUUCUUUUAGCUGAACAU
This is a long non-coding RNA of Piliocolobus tephrosceles (Ugandan red Colobus), 3859 nucleotides long. Lineage: Eukaryota; Metazoa; Chordata; Mammalia; Primates; Cercopithecidae. The record is from Ensembl.